Molecule: transfer RNA, 70 nt
Filed under: Stegodyphus mimosarum
Lineage: Eukaryota; Metazoa; Arthropoda; Arachnida; Araneae; Eresidae
Rfam family: tRNA
About the family: Transfer RNA (tRNA) molecules are approximately 80 nucleotides in length.
Source: Rfam by way of RNAcentral
GCCUUGUGGUGUAACGGUAGCACACUUGACAUGUAUUCGAGAAGUCCAGGUUCGAGUCCUGGUGAGGGCA